UUGGAGGGCAAGUCUGGUGCCAGCAGCCGCGGUAAUUCCAGCUCCAAUAGCGUAUAUUAAAGUUGUUGCAGUUAAAAAGCUCGUAGUUGAAUUUCGGGAUCAAUGUUUCGGUCAUGCCGUUGGUAUGUACUGAUAUUAUUGGUUUCUCACCUUCUAAAGAACCGUAAUGCCAUUAAUUUGGUGUCACGGGGAAUUAGGACUGUUACCUUGAAAAAAUUAGAGUGUUUAAAGCAGGCUCACGCUUGAAUACAUUAGCAUGGAAUAAUGAAAUAGGGCAUCCGAUUUUAUUUUGUUGGUUUCUAGGAUCGAUGUAAUGAUUAAUAGGGAUAGUUGGGGGCAUUAGUAUUCAAUUGUCAGAGGUGAAAUUCUUGGAUUUAUUGAAGACUAGCUACUGCGAAAGCAUUUGCCAAGGAUGUUUUCAUUAAUCAAGAACGAAAGUUAGGGGAUCGAAGACGAUCAGAUACCGUCGUAGUCUUAACCAUAAACUAUGCCGACUAGGGAUCGGAUGAUGUUAAUUUUUUAAUGACUCAUUCGGCGCCUUACGGGAAACCAAAGUGUUUGGGUUC
This 566-nucleotide ribosomal RNA is filed under the name uncultured Glomeromycotina. RNAcentral describes it as "SSU rRNA". It matches the Rfam family "Eukaryotic small subunit ribosomal RNA", at positions 548 to 1114 of the family's 1831-position model. The record is from RNAcentral. Lineage: Eukaryota; Fungi; Glomeromycota.